UACGUAGGAGGCGAGCGUUGUCCGGAGUUACUGGGCGUAAAGGGUGCGCAGGCGGCCGCGCGCGUGGGUGGUGAAAUCUCCCGGCUCAACUGGGAGGGGGCCAUCCAGACGGCGUGGCUUGAGGCUCGGAGGGGGGCGUGGAAUUCCGGGUGGAGCGGUGAAAUGCGUAGAGAUCCGGAAGAACACCGGUGGCGAAGGCGGUCUGCUGGGCAGUAGCUGACAUUGAGGCGCGACAGCGUGGGGAGCAAACAGG
Molecule: ribosomal RNA, 253 nt
Filed under: uncultured bacterium
Lineage: Bacteria
Description: partial 16S ribosomal RNA
Rfam family: Bacterial small subunit ribosomal RNA
Source: RNAcentral